RNAcentral lists this ribosomal RNA (500 nucleotides) under uncultured bacterium. RNAcentral describes it as "partial 16S ribosomal RNA". It matches the Rfam family "Bacterial small subunit ribosomal RNA", at positions 28 to 523 of the family's 1533-position model. The record is from RNAcentral.
GUUGAACGCUGGCGGCAUGCCUUACACAUGCAAGUCGAACGGCAGCACGGGUGCUUGCACCUGGUGGCGAGUGGCGAACGGGUGAGUAAUACAUCGGAACGUACCUUAUCGUGGGGGAUAACGCAGCGAAAGCUGUGCUAAUACCGCAUACGCCCUGAGGGGAAAGCGGGGGAUCGAAAGACCUCGCGCGAUUAGAGCGGCCGAUGCCUGAUUAGCUUGUUGGUGGGGUAAAAGCCCACCAAGGCGACGAUCAGUAGCUGGUCUGAGAGGACGAUCAGCCACACUGGGACUGAGACACGGCCCAGACUCCUACGGGAGGCAGCAGUGGGGAAUUUUGGACAAUGGGGGCAACCCUGAUCCAGCAGUGCCGCGUGAGUGAAGAAGGCCUUCGGGUUGUAAAGCUCUUUUGUCAGGGAAGAAACACCGGCUCUAACACAGUCCGGGAAUGACGGUACCUGAAGAAUAAGCACCGGCUAACUACGUGCCAGCCGCCGCCGUAA